AGACCUUUUUUAUGUGACAUUUUAGGUAAAAGUAUGGCAAAUAUAGAAGUUUAAAAGCAGCUGUCACACACAUUUUCACUAAGUGCAGUUUGCAGCUUGAUAAAGGAAGUCCUAUGUGGAGAUAUUAAUAAGCUUGAAUGUAGUAUCGGAAGUUUAUAAUGCAUGGCUAGGGAACUGAGGCUAAGGGAGUUAUGUGCUGUGCAUGAUGAGAACUCAAUGCUCAUUAAUGCUGUUAAUGUUUAUAAAUAAAUUAAUUAAACCAAUAGCAUUGUUUUUUAGGUUUCACUGUACAUUUUCAUACCAAUAGAAUUACACAUCAUUCUAAUUAUAGCAAUAAUAAAUUUGUACUAAUCAUACCUACAAAUUUUGUUAUGCUAUGCUUUGUGAUGUAUUAACUUCAUUGUAAGUUAUUAUUUAAAGACAAUUUUACUAAAUAUUUAAAACAAUACUUGAAUUAUUUUCUAUAUACAUUUUCAUUAUGUGCUUUAACUGUAGCUGACCAGUUGAUGGAAGAUACUGCAGAGUUUGGCAGGGAAAUAACCCAAGACAGCAAAGCGGCUCUUUUGGCGCAUUUACCAAGAGGACUAACAUGGCCACAAAUUCAUGAGAUCAUGCAGGAGCCGUACAGUAUACCAGCAGUACAAGUUCUAUAAAAGAUCCACGACCUACUGAAGCCCAGCCUAUUAACAAAAAAGUUUUUAAAAACUGUAAUUUUAUCCCACCUGGGUACUUAUAAUUUACUAAGCUGCCUUCACAAGUUUUAGACUUGCAAUUAUAUUUUAAACUGUCACUUGGAAAGUAAUACAUGUACAUGCAUUAUGUUCUGAAUUUCUUUGAACAAUAAAAUUAUAUAAAAGUAUUUUAAUGAAAUUGAGCACCUAAAUUGCAUUAAAGUGAAAGUAGCUGAGAAAAAUAGUAUCCUUGUGCUCAUGGGCAGCUACAUAUAUUGUGACAAACAUGAAGUAGCUUAAAUAACUUAAAUUUUUCAUUUUGUUUCUUGUAUAUCGUUUGUACAGGGUUCGUGAAUUGUUACUGUAUAUUACUUGACUUGCUUGUAUUUUGUUACUUUGAAUACAUGUUGUUAAGGUUGCAUUAUACUUUUUAACUUUUAAAGUAGCGCCUGUUCUGUUAUGUAAGGGCCUGAUUUAUGAUAAUGGACCUAGAGGCUUUGUAAGCAUGUAUUAAACAACACUUGUUUGAUCUGAAUAAUUUGUUAAAUAAAUGUAACACAAUUUGUAAUCUGAUGUUAUAUUUUGAUGAAUUGUGAACAAAAUAAUACAUCGAAGAAACUAA
Dreissena polymorpha is the source of this 1293-nucleotide long non-coding RNA. RefSeq lists it as uncharacterized. The record is from RefSeq and is a predicted model, not a curated record. The transcript has 2 exons. NCBI's taxonomy places the organism in Eukaryota, Metazoa, Mollusca, Bivalvia, Myida, Dreissenidae.